AUGUUGUUAAAGUUAAAUGUUAUGGACGCUUCAGAAACUCUUCAUUUGUUUAUUCAGUCUUGUGUGUUUUAUUUAUCAGCAGUUUCUGCACAUGAGUCCACCAUCGCCUCCACUUCUCCUCCAGUGUCAGAGUGUGUGUUCUGCUGGACGCUGCUGUUGAGUGUGUGUCCGGUGUGUGUUCUCCUCUCCUCACUCCUGUCCUCCAUCUGUGUUUACUGCUUCUGUCGUCCUCAAACUACAGGUUCUGACAUGAGUGCUGAGAUUCUUAAAGCAAAUGUUUUGAUGGCAGAUUGUGUGGAGAAACAUCAGUGUGAGGCGAGUAAGACUGGAAAGAUCUGUGUCCACACUGAAGUCUCUUAUAGACGACUGACAUCUAAACAUCCCUACACCAACAUCUGACACAUGAACUGCUCUUAGUCUACUUUCUGUCUUAUUUCUGAUAGUUUGAGUAUUUACUUACAGUACAUUAUCUAUUACAAUCAACGGUCUUUAAAAUUAAUAGUAUGACCCACUGACUCUUUAUGAUUUAACAUUUCAUUUUUUUUACAAUAAUAAUGUAAUCAAAGAUUGUUUCUCAAUUAGCGCAAUAUUGUUAAGAUGACUCAAAGAUUUGUAAAAACACAAGACUGUGCAUGUUUUU
Danio rerio (zebrafish) is the source of this 640-nucleotide long non-coding RNA. The record is from Ensembl. Lineage: Eukaryota; Metazoa; Chordata; Actinopteri; Cypriniformes; Danionidae.